This 23-nucleotide microRNA is filed under the name Oryctolagus cuniculus (rabbit). RNAcentral describes it as "ocu-miR-92a-2-5p". Its record names the gene ocu-miR-92a-2-5p. Lineage: Eukaryota; Metazoa; Chordata; Mammalia; Lagomorpha; Leporidae. The record is from miRBase by way of RNAcentral.
UGGUGGGGAUUUGUCGCAUUACU